GCGUUGUCCGGAUUUAUUGGGCGUAAAGCGAGUGCAGGCGGCUCGAUAAGUCUGAUGUGAAAGCCUUCGGCUCAACCGGAGAAUUGCAUCAGAAACUGUCGAGCUUGAGUGCAGAAGAGGAGAGUGGAACUCCAUGUGUAGCGGUGAAAUGCGUAGAUAUAUGGAAGAACACCGGUGGCGAAGGCGGCUCUCUGGUCUGUUACUGACGCUGAGGCUCGAAAGCAUG
RNAcentral lists this ribosomal RNA (226 nucleotides) under uncultured bacterium. RNAcentral describes it as "partial 16S ribosomal RNA". It matches the Rfam family "Bacterial small subunit ribosomal RNA", at positions 538 to 763 of the family's 1533-position model. The record is from RNAcentral.